CACGUCUCCCGUGCUUCGUAAGGGGCGCAAAUGUAUUCGAUGUUGCUGCUGCGGCCUGCAGCGAAAAAUUUUCCUGAGGAGCUCGCACAUUGGGAGUUCUCAGAGGAUGCAUACGCACUUACAAAUGUGAUAACUUAUGGAAAAGCCUCUUCAUGUCAUGCCUAAGGGCUGGCACGUUUAGAACGCAUUCUGUACCAGCGAUGAGACAUCGGCAGUACAAGCGACAAACAGCUACACCUGUGCAUGGUCAGUUCUGCGUUUGGGUUCCAAAUAGGGAACAAGCACGACCACAGUAUUGCUACCAGGUACAAGAUUUCACCAUGCCGCUCCCUAAGCAGUUGGAAGAGUUGCACAUGACAUGCAACGUGAACCAUAGCCGCGAAGCACUGGCCUUGGCAGUCCACGUGCUCAUGACUGAAGUUGGAUUUGAGCUAGAAGGCUGGCAAGAAACAUUGGCUGAUGGGAGUGCAAAGGACCACCCUGCCACUGAAAAGUUCUUUUGGGAAAGGAGUGACUACCUGAUGAAAAUUGGCUACAGACAUCCUACUUGCCCUACAGUGUCCUUCAGUGUGGCAUUUGUUCUGUUUCAACCAAAUAUCAUUGUUCAUGGGCUAGCCACACACGAAGGUAACACGGAAGGCUUCUCACUUAGCUUGAGACUUUCAGACUUCAUCCAGAGGGCAUUUCUGUCAGAUCCAGAGCCGAACAAAGUGUACAAAAAUCUUCCCACAUUGUCACGACUUGUCAAGGAUUCUGUGGCACUUCCACUUCUUGGAUGGGCCCAGAGUGUCACGAAUGUUGCUCCCACUUUUGGAUUCAUGACUUUGAGCUCUGAGAUCCAGCUUCUUAUUUUGGGUUACCUGAAUGUGCGAGACUUGCUGGCUGCUUCUGGAGUAAACACAGAUUUAUUUGAACUGGCAUCUAAUCCUGUGCUUUGGCGAAAGCUGUUUUUAAAGAACUUUCCCUCUGUGGAAGUGUCGCCUACUGACAAUGUUUCCAACUGGAGAGAGAAAUACAAGCAGGAGUACUUACUGCGAAAGGAGCAACAGGAGAAUGCUCUGCAGAUGCUGCCACAUAUGCGCCUAGUAAUGCCGAGCGCCCUCCGAAACGCACACCGUCCCUUUCUGCUGCCCCCAGUGCCCCAGAGUAGUGAUGACGACUUCGACUUCGACAUGUUCAUGCCGCAUGUUCCAAGACAGCAACUUCCUUAGUGGCACAAGAGGGAGGGGAGAAAAAUGAAUACGGUCAUAAUCACCUCAGCUGCCAGCUGCAAUGACUUGUGAGAUAAGCAUGUUCCUGAAUGUGACAAGUUUCUUUGAUUUUAAGAUUGGCCGGCUGCAUUCUUCUUAUGACCUUGUCACACUCAUCGUGGUUUCUUAAGUCCCGAGAUUUAAACCUGCCGGACUCCUUGCUGGAUCAUCGCUGAGAAGAAAAUAAAAAAACUGCACCACAC
RNA transcript from Rhipicephalus microplus (southern cattle tick), 1453 nucleotides. It is a transcript of the gene named F-box only protein 7, with no coding region annotated. The record is from RefSeq and is a predicted model, not a curated record. NCBI's taxonomy places the organism in Eukaryota, Metazoa, Arthropoda, Arachnida, Ixodida, Ixodidae.